RNAcentral lists this ribosomal RNA (497 nucleotides) under uncultured bacterium. RNAcentral's name for it is "partial 16S ribosomal RNA". It matches the Rfam family "Bacterial small subunit ribosomal RNA", at positions 28 to 507 of the family's 1533-position model. The record is from RNAcentral.
GAUGAACGCUGGCGGCGUGUCUAAUACAUGCAAGUCGAGCGAACGGACGAGAAGCUUGCUUCUCUGAUGUUAGCGGCGGACGGGUGAGUAACACGUGGAUAACCUACCUAUAAGACUGGGAUAACUUCGGGAAACCGGAGCUAAUACCGGAUGAUAUUUUGAACCGCAUGGUUCAAAAGUGAAAGACGGUCUUGCUGUCACUUAUAGAUGGAUCCGCGCUGCAUUAGCUAGUUGGUAAGGUAACGGCUUACCAAGGCAACGAUGCAUAGCCGACCUGAGAGGGUGAUCGGCCACACUGGAACUGAGACACGGUCCAGACUCCUACGGGAGGCAGCAGUAGGGAAUCUUCCGCAAUGGGCGAAAGCCUGACGGAGCAGCGCCGCGUGAGUGAUGAAGGUCUUCGGAUCGUAAAACUCUGUUAUUAGGGAAGAACAUAUGUGUAAGUAACUGUGCACAUCUUGACGGUACCUAAUCAGAAAGCCACGGCUAACUACGUG